Molecule: long non-coding RNA, 353 nt
Filed under: Ananas comosus (pineapple)
Lineage: Eukaryota; Viridiplantae; Streptophyta; Magnoliopsida; Poales; Bromeliaceae
Description: long non-coding RNA (ACOM_LNC026050)
Source: RNAcentral
ACUCAGAGAUACAUCACAAAAUUGAAACUAAAUUCUAUCACAAAAUUUAUAUCGAUAUGGCUUACCUCAUUACAGCAAUAUACCAAAAGACACCAUGACAUCAAAACUGUUUACCCAGUUAACAAUUAAGAAGGAAAUAAAUUAUUAAAUACUAAAGUUUUAUCAAAUAAGCACAAUCUCUAAAAAAAAUAUUUUUUAAAAAAAUUGCAAACAGUCAAAAUCAAAACUUCUAAUUUUUUUUCAACGAUUUGUAAUUCGUAUAAGAAUACUUAACCUUUAUUUUGAAAAUUAUAUAAAAUUUUUUUUCGUUACCGUAACAUAUUUUUGUAAUUUUUAUCAAAAAACAAACUAAA